GUUUACCUGGGACCCUAUGGCGGAAUCGUGUAGUUGGGUGCUUUCGUGCUCUAUUACAUGAAAUUAAAGGGGUGCAGGGAGAUUUCGGAUAGAGUCCCAUGAACAAAAUUCAUCAGAGAAAACGUUGAAACACAUUUUGGUUCUGAAGCUCAGCUCACCAGUGGAUGCCAGAAGAUGCAAACAAGAAGUUGUAUUUUUUGGAUUCCACUUCCAGGCAUAGCUGUCAAGUGUCGAGCAGCCCAGUAUUGCCCCAUGGGUAUAUACUGCCUUGGCCCCAUGCAGUUUUCCUAAGGAUCAUCAGGAAAGUAAGGAGUGGCGAGGAAGAGGCUAUUCUACCCUGGUCAGACACACAGCAAAGCUGACACAGCCAGCAGAGCUCUGCAACAGCAAUGGGUCUGCUACCACUUGGUUGAAAGCAUCCUGGCUUCGGCCCAAUCUUACCAAUGCCGUGAAUAGGCAAAAUGCCGUGAAUGGAGCCCAUUCACGGCAACGGCAUAUUACCAAUGCCGUGGAUAGCUAUUCACGCCAUCUCAUUCACGGCAUGCGGUCGAUGUUUAUCCACGGCAUUUUAGCAGUGCUUUAACAUGGGCAGUGGCACAAGCUGCCGCGAGAGCGGCAGAACAAACGCAAAUAAUCAGCUGUUUGCGCUGUCGGUGGCCGUUCCAUUCACGCCACCUUUUAGUGCCGUGAAUGGCGGGUGUUGUGAAAGGGAUAGGUCGCUGGGAGGAUGUUACUAUGCAAUAUUUGACACUAUUAUUAUUUUUUAAGUAAAGAAUUCAUAUAAUGCCCUUGACAUCUUAGAGCGACGAUUACACGCAUGGUGAUUAUUUCAAAAACAUGUAUUUUCCAGGGAUAAAAUCACACUCAAAUCCAUAAAAAUAAACAUGUUUAUUCAUUAUAUGGUCUUAUUUUUCAAAUCCAUACGAGAUCGUGGAGGCGAUUUUAGCACCUGGGCCCAAUCUUACCAAUGCCAAACCUAUCUAUAUGCUAUAAUAUGGGUGUUUCAGUGUUCACCCCGUCCGGACGUCUCACAAACAUAGGUACUUAAUGAUUUCUAAGUAAAUAUUUAAAACAAUUAAAUACCGUAAACUUGUUAAACAAUUAUAUCAGCACUCACAAUGCAUAUUUUACCACUUUCUGUCUGGCACAGACAGCUACGAAGCAUGCUGUCUUCAUGCGUCUCAAUCUGACUUCUAAACUGGAAGCCUUUUUCUUGAUAUGGUUUUGAGAUGUAGAAGAGUUUCUUCAAUAUUUUGAGGAAUUCCUUUUGUUAUCAUGCUUGUCAAGGCUGCGGAGUCGAUGGAUUUUCGGCGACUCCGACUCCGACUCCGACUCCGGCUUUCAAAAACCAGCUCCGACUCCGACUCCGACUCCGGGCAGAAUUGUCGACUCCGACCGACUCCAACUCCCGACUCCGACUCAGCAGACCUAGCAGGGCUGCGGAGUCGACAGAUUUUCGGUGACUCUGACUCCGACUCCGGCUCGGGUUUCUAAAAUCGACUCCGACUCCGACUCCGGUCACAACUGUCGACUCCGACCGACUCCGACUCCGACUCCGACUCCGACUCCGCAGCCCUGAUGCUUGUAAAAAGCAGAAAAAUAGGCUAUAGCUUGAGCUGGCCCGGUGCAUGAACCCAAAGUUUAAGCUUUACAAGCUGCAUUUCAAUUGCAUUAUUCCAAUGACUUAAAAACAGCAGCGGAGCUAUCACUAGGUCGUUACUUCAAUAAUUUUAUCUAAAAAUUGUUGCAAUAUCUUAACAGUAAGUAAAUAGAAAUGAUGAGCAGCGACACGAAGUUGAAAACUAAUCCACUCGAUUUUCUCAGCGCAAGAAUGUCCUCGCGGAAGUUUAUUAGGCCAGUAAUCCGCUUUUCAGGAGAAUUCUUUAGGCAGGCUUUAGUUUUUCAUAGUUUGCUAUCACGUUUUCCACAAAUAACUUAUCCUUCACACAUAUAUAUGUCUCUAAAACAAAUAAACGCCCGACAAAACUUUAAAUAGAGAGCUAUACCUAUUCACAAGCAUUACGCACAAUUUCCAACAGCGAAGGUGACAAGAAUUGACCAAUCACAUUGCGUGUUUUCUGCUGGCGCUGAAUUGUACCGUGGGCAAAAUGCGGUGAAUAGAAAUGCCGUGGUACGGCAUUGGUAAGAUUGGGUAAAUGGAGUGCCGUGGAUCAGCCGCCGUGGUUGGCAUCCACGGCCUCUGCAUCCACGGCAUUGGUAAGAUUGGGCCCUGGAACGAUAAGACUGGGCUGCGGCAGCAGCUGCAGCUCUGUUGGCGCUGUUGGUUAACGAGUGACAGUCUAAGUCGGCCUCGGUUGUCGGCUAAAGGCCGCCGCGGCGCCUAGUGUGGUGAUGGCUGCAAUGUCUGAUGGCGUCUGUGUGAAAGCACAUGCUUAUAGCAGAGAAGAGCUUUGUUUCACACAACGCUGUAUGUUAAAAGUGAAUUGUUAUACGGUGCAUUUCUAGAUAUCUCGGUCAGUGUAUUUGCUGGUGUAUUUUCUCUCGCUGCUUGCCUCGGAUUCCGCAUCGUUCAUUGUGAGCCGUGAGGGUAUAGCUAGGUAGCGGCGAUUCGCCACUGUGCACAUGAUAAACAGGGCCAGCUGCGUGUGCUGCAUUGUUGGGGUUCGUCGUCUGUUGUUUGGCACUGCAUAAAUAUUUGGUCAGCUCAGCUGUGGCCAUUGGUUGGGAAAGCUGGCCUGCAGGGACGAUUGCCGGACGGUACGUGGUGGUCUGUGGGUUGCUGGGACUGAGUCGAGCCGACUGGGUGCUGCGAGACGCGGACGUAAUGUCUACUACAGGCCUACACAGUACACAAUGCUUUUAAGGCCAAAAAUGUUAAUGUAGGCAUUUUAUGUAAACCUCCGUAAAAAUCAUUUGACGCAAGGCUGGUUCGUUAUAAGACAGCGAAAAUCGAGCGGGUUAUUUGUGUAUACUUAUCCCCUUUCUGAACGAUUGUAGCGAUUGUAGCGAGAGUCAGUGUGGUCGACUAUGCUCGAGGCUGUGAGACACGGUAGCUGGUGUGGUCGAUAGAGGGGGGGGGUGGCAGCAGGAGGACGAGACUGAACGGGAGACGUUUGAUGUGAAAUGCCUUAUGCCGUAGUAUCAAAGUAGUAUCCACUAGUGACUUUGCUUGCUAUUGCUGCGCAUGGAAAUGAUGAUAAAAUUUGAAAAC
This 3172-nucleotide long non-coding RNA is filed under the name Amphibalanus amphitrite. RNAcentral's name for it is "uncharacterized LOC122387260". The record is from RNAcentral. Lineage: Eukaryota; Metazoa; Arthropoda; Thecostraca; Balanomorpha; Balanidae.